Molecule: long non-coding RNA, 3647 nt
Organism: Cavia porcellus (domestic guinea pig)
Lineage: Eukaryota; Metazoa; Chordata; Mammalia; Rodentia; Caviidae
Exons: 5
Source: RefSeq, a predicted model, not a curated record
UCUCAUUAGUGUGUUAAUUUGCAUAGCUUUGAUUACUAGCGCGAUGGAACCUUUCCCACUAUUUGUUAAACAACUAAGUUUCCUCCUUCGUGAAUUUCCCCUUUGUCCUUUGUCUGUUCAUCUCUCUGGGGUUUUUGUCAUCCCUAUUUACAUAGAAGAAGGCACCAGCUUUGCCCAGAGAAAGGCCUUCUGUGUGCAGCUCGGUGGAGCGCGUCCCCUGCUGAGUUAUGACAGACUCAGAAUUCAGAGAGAAUAGGCUAGGAAGGGGAAACCAGAAAAACAAGAAGGAUAAAGGCCAUAUGUUUCUCUGCUGUGGGUGAAACAGAAGGUCAUAUUAUUGCAGUAAAGUGGCUCUGUACCAUAACCUAACUCGAACUUACUUCUUAACGCCGGUACUGUAGAUGUUGGCCAUUCUUCCAGUACUCCAUGCAUGUUGUGUAAUACCAGGACGCUUCUUCCGGCCAAGUGCAGGACCAGCAGAUAGGACCCAAAGGCUGGGAAGGACUCUGCAACUACCUUUGUCCCUUUUCACCAGGAUUCUUUGGUUUCACAAUCUCACCAAGCUUCUGUCCAAAAGGAAGGCUGUACCAAGCAGUGCCCUCCUGUGAGCCAGUGGCAGUCGUGAGCUGGGAGGAGAACCAAGAAGCCAACUCAUGCCUUCCUGUGAGCCAGCCGGUGCACAGCUGGGAGACAAGAAGCAACCAGCUGAUUCAGGGGAACUCAGCCCAAGAUGAUAGCAACUGAAGAUGAAACAUUUGGGCCCUCUGGAUCAUUCUAGUCUAUUUUAGCAAGAGACUUCUACCUGAAUCACAUUAAUACCUCGAAAGACUCUGGACUCCCUUGAGACAGAAACUGGAACCAACUUAACUCAGAAGAAGAUUAGAUUCAGCUCUAACAGGGGCUGACCAAGGAGCCCAAGCUGGUCUCAGCCUUUCCACUGCUGGGACCACAGGCGUGGGUGACCAGCCCAGCUUCUCCAACCCAUUUUAUUCAGUUCUCAGGAUGUACUGGCAACACCUACAUGGAGUGCAACAGAAGGCUCAUAAGUGGAAGUUAAAUGUGGCCUAAGGCCCCUGCCACUGUGGAGCUGGAGGAAUCAUUCGACAGUUCUAGAAAAGUACAAUUAAGGUGCUGGCUCUACGUUGCACGUAUAUGUAAAAAUCCUGCAAAGUCAAUGUGUAUUUGGGCUUUGUGCUACCAAAUUUUACUUGAAAACAGAAGAGAGGUUGUUACCAACCUGCUCCCAGGACAUCCCUAGGGGUUUACAUGCUGGUGGCCCGCGAGGGGAUCGCACCCUCCUUCCUGCCCACUCCCACUGCCGCUGCUUUCUUUAGGUGCGUUUCUUGCAUUCCAGUGCUUGUCUGGAGGAACUCAGAAAGAGUGGCUCCCCUCCCUGCAUGAAUCUGUAAAGGCCUACCUCCCCCUACUUUCUACCAAAAUGUCCUUUUGCUAAAAACUGAAAAAAAUCUCCAACUUUAUCAUUUUCUGACCACCUGCCAUUUGCUAGGUUUGCUUCUGGCACUAUUUUAGCUGCGGCUUCUCAGAUUAUCUCCCAUCUAUUCCCCCUUGUGAUCUUUUUUUAAGCUAAAUCAAGGACACACUAAAAAAAGGAAGCUAUCCCUUGAUGAGAACAUGCUAGAAUACGUCCUUUCAUCCAUUCUGAGAGCAGUAGCACUCAUGGAUUUUAUUUUGUUUUUUUGAGGCAGGGCCUCCCUAUGUAGUGCAGGCUGGCUUUGAACUCACUGUAUGGCCCAGGCUGGCCUCAAACUCAGUGUUCUUUCUGCCUCAGCUUCUUAAAUGUUGGGAUUACAGAUGUGUGCCAUCACACCUGGGUAAUAUAUUUAAAUAAUGAAUUAUCAUUACUGCUUAGUCCCUAUAUCUGAGGUAAACAUAAAAUUAAAGGAAGUAUAUUUUCAAUUUAAAGAAUAUAAGUAGAACAAAUUAUUAAUUAAAAUAUGUAUGAAUUAUUAAUUGACUAAUUUCAUAGUUAAAAGUUGAAGGCCAAUUACUAACUUUCUUUCAUUAGGCAGCUCAGGUUAUAUAAUUUUGGAAAAAACCUCCAGUUGGCAAUUUACAAAGCUGAUCAUCUGAAUUUAUAUUGUAGGAAUCAAGCUUCAUAAAAAAAUAGAAAUAAUCUUUAAAGAGAUGGUGUCCUGUAAACUUGAUUACUAUUGUAGUCAUAAUCAUAAUUUCCUUUGAGAUUUAUGGAAAUCAAGUACACAAUAAAUAUGAUCAAAUCUUGAAAUUAUUUGGCAAAAUAACUUACAUGGUGUCUGUGUAACCCAUGGCUACAGGAAGCAGGUGACAGUACAAAGUGGCGAACAGAGACACAUGCCUUUAGUGUUUUUCUUAAAAUACAUUUUUCUUGACCUUAGUUAGUAGACAGAUGCACAGAAGUGUAAUUUUGUUGCUUAAGACAGAGGGUCAGGGAUGUGUGUAUGGUGUGAUCCCACCACUCAGGAGGCUGAGGCAGGAGAAUCAAUGUGAUUUUGAGACUGGCUUGGGCUACAAGCAAGUUCAACACUAGCUUAACCUUGUCUCAAGACAAGACAAAACAAAACACAAAGACAAAAACUAAAUUUUUAAAAAGUUUGCCUGAUAGGUGAACUAUAUCAAUGUUUCUUCUACUUUUAUAAAACAGAUGAAGUUUAAAUGUUUUAAAAUAACAGUAGCAGAAGUUUCAAAUUAAACACCUUAUUUCCCCCCUCCCCCCCCCCCGUGAUGUUUUUGAGACACCAUCUUGCUAUGUAGUUUAGGCAGCCUUGAACUAAAGGUGAUCUUCCUGCUUCAGCCUCCCCACGCUGAGAUUACAGGUGUGCCCCACUAUGCCUGGCAAAUAUCCUUUUUGAAAUAUAUUCUUAUGGUUCAAAUAUCCAGAAGUUUAAAUAUUCAUAGUGAAAAGUCUGUCUGCCUUCUUUACUGAGUUUUCACACCGAGUAUGUUCUCUUUUUAACACAGACGUAAAUUAACGCCUUGUUCUGCACCAUUUUGUAUCUGGAAAAUCUUUUAAAAAAUUUUCCCUUUGGUGGAACUGGGAAUUGAAUCCAGUGCCUUCCCAUUGAGCUACUUCCCCAGUCCUCCUCCAUUUUUAUUUUUCAUUCUGUGACAGGGUCUCCUUAGGUUGAUAAAUUGCUCAGGCUAUUCUUGAAUUUUCCAGAUCCCUAUUUCAGCCUCCCAGAGGGGUAAGAUUAUAGGUGCACACCACCCUUCUCAGUCUAGGAAAUCUUAAUUUUUUUUGAGGAAGGGUCUCACUAAGUGUUCCAGACUGGCCUUAAAGUCACUUAUGUAGACCAGGUUGGACUCGAACUCAUAGUAAUCCUCCUGCCUCAGCAUCCUAAGUGCUGGGAUGACAGACAUGCACCACCAUGCCUGAUCAGAAAUCUUAAUAUUGAAUCAUAAAAAAUCUUUCUUUUUGGUUUAGCAGCUGUAUAAUGUUCAAAUGCAUAGACACAUCAUAAUUAGUAUCUUGAUAGAUAUUUAUAUUAUUCCCAGUCUUUUGCAAGUCUUUUUUUUUUCCUGUACUAUUGAUUAAACCCAGGGGCUUCCAAAUGAGCUACAAAAGUUCUUCAGGCUCCAAUUUGCAGUCAUCCUGCCUCAGCUUCUUAGAGUGCUGGGAUUAGAGGCCUGUGCCAUCAAAACUGGUUAUU